GGAAAAGGUGCCCAGAGUUGCAGACUGUGGUGGUUCUCCUGGAACCUAUCCUGGAUAUCACACUAGUUCUGGACUGUUGAAAGACCCAAAUAUCGGAAGUAUACUUUGAAAAGCAUAAGAAAAAAAUGCAAACACAAGGAAAAAAGAGUUUCUCAGAGUGUGAUCUGCUGAACAUCACCCAGCAACGAGACCUAGCUUGUGCCGACAGCUACAGACCACACUGCUUCUGACCUCUGAGACUACACAGACAGAGGAAGAAUCUUUGCAAGCAUUGUGAUCCUGG
RNAcentral lists this long non-coding RNA (283 nucleotides) under Vulpes vulpes (red fox). RNAcentral describes it as "lncRNA (ENSVVUG00000004867.1)". The record is from RNAcentral. Lineage: Eukaryota; Metazoa; Chordata; Mammalia; Carnivora; Canidae.